UUGCUCUUCAACGAGGAAUGCCUAGUAGGCACGAGUCAUCAGCUCGUGCCGAUUACGUCCCUGCCCUUUGUACACACCGCCCGUCGCUACUACCGAUUGAAUGGCUUGGUGAGGCCUUCGGACUGGCUCCAGGGGGUUGGCAACGACCCCCCAGAGCCGGAAAGUUGGUCAAACCUGGUCAUUUAGAGGAAGUAAAAGUCGUAACAAGGUUUCCGUAGGUGAACCUGCGGAAGGAUCAUUACCGAGUGUUUGGAUGCCCCCUUCUUGGGGGUGUCCGUCCUCCCAUCCGUGUCUAUUGUACCCUGUUGCUUCGGCGGGCCCGCCCUCUUGUGGCCGCCGGGGGGCUUCCCUUGCCCCCGGGCCCGCGCCCGCCGGAGACCUCAACCAUUGAACACUGUCUGAAGGUUGCAGUCUGAGUACCGAUAAACAAAUCGUUAAAACUUUCAACAACGGAUCUCUUGGUUCCGGCAUCGAUGAAGAACGCAGCGAAAUGCGAUAAGUAAUGUGAAUUGCAGAAUUCCGUGAAUCAUCGAAUCUUUGAACGCACAUUGCGCCCGCCAGUAUUCUGGCGGGCAUGCCUGUUCGAGCGUCAUUUCAACCCUCAAGCCCCCGGGCUUGGUGUUGGGGCUCGGCCCGUCCCUAGCGGAUGCGCCGUCCCCGAAAUCUAGUGGCGGUCUCGCUGUUGCCUCCUCUGCGUAGUAGCUAACACCUCGCAAUGGGAACGCAGCGUGACCACGCCGUUAAACCCCCCACUUCUGAAGGUUGACCUCGGAUCAGGUAGGAAUACCCGCUGAACUUAAGCAUAUCAAUAAGCGGAGGA
This 820-nucleotide ribosomal RNA is filed under the name uncultured fungus. Its description in RNAcentral is "eukaryotic LSU rRNA". The stretch from base 1 to 241 matches the Rfam family "Eukaryotic small subunit ribosomal RNA", at positions 1593 to 1831 of the family's 1831-position model. Lineage: Eukaryota; Fungi. The record is from RNAcentral.